Molecule: long non-coding RNA, 817 nt
Filed under: Marmota monax (woodchuck)
Lineage: Eukaryota; Metazoa; Chordata; Mammalia; Rodentia; Sciuridae
Source: RNAcentral
UCAAAACAAAACAAAAACCUAAACUAUAGGAUAGUCAAUCAGUUAUACAUUUGGGAAAAGAUCUUGAUCAAAAAGGGAAAAUACUUUGCUAUGCUUCUGCGCAGCAAAGGAAACCAUGUGAAGAGAGAACCUACAGAAUGGGAGAAAAUCUUUGUUAGCUACUCUUCUGAUAGAGGAUUACUAUCUAGAAUAUAUAAAGAACUCAGAAAACUUUAUACCAAAAAAACCAAAUAACCUUAUUAAUAAAUGGGCAAGUGAAUUAAACAGACACUUCCCAAAAAACCCACAAAUAUGUGAAAAAUGUUCAAACAUCAUUAGCAAUCAGGAAAAUGCAAAUCAAAACUGUACUAAGAUUUCAUCUCACAACAGAAUGGCAGUCAACAAGAAUACAAACAAUAAAUGCCGGAGAGGAUAUGGAGAAAAAGGAACACUUUUAAACUGUUGGUGGAAUUAUAAAUUAGUACAACCACUAUGGAAAUCAGUAUGAAGCUUCCUCAAAAGACUAGGCAUGGAACCACCACAUGAUCCAGCUAUGCUACUCUUCGGUAUUUAUCCUAAAGAAUUAAUCAUUCUAUAGUGAUCCUAUGUUUAUAGCAGCACAAUUCACAAUAGCUGUUGUAGGGACAGACGAGGCAAGGCAUCAAAGAUAGCGGGAAACAGUUUUAUUUGGCUGCAGCCAGGUUCAGAGGGCACAGCUUUUGCUGUAAUCAAUCAAUUCCCUGAACCCUGAGUUCAGGUAGUUUAGAAUUUUAUACUCAGCAUGUAAGGGGAAGGGCUCAGAAAUUCAGUCUGUAGAAGUUCACAUAAAAGCAGUUUU